RNAcentral lists this ribosomal RNA (468 nucleotides) under uncultured bacterium. Its description in RNAcentral is "partial 16S ribosomal RNA". It matches the Rfam family "Bacterial small subunit ribosomal RNA", at positions 28 to 507 of the family's 1533-position model. The record is from RNAcentral.
GACGAACGCUGGCGGCGUGCUUAACACAUGCAAGUCGAACGGAAAGGCCCUGCUUUUGUGGGGUGCUCGAGUGGCGAACGGGUGAGUAACACGUGAGUAACCUGCCCUUGACUUUGGGAUAACUUCAGGAAACUGGGGCUAAUACCGGAUAGUAGCUCCUGCUGCAUGGUGGGGGUUGGAAAGUUUCGGCGGUUGGGGAUGGACUCGCGGCUUAUCAGCUUGUUGGUGGGGUAGUGGCUUACCAAGGCUUUGACGGGUAGCCGGCCUGAGAGGGUGACCGGCCACAUUGGGACUGAGAUACGGCCCAGACUCCUACGGGAGGCAGCAGUGGGGAAUAUUGCACAAUGGGCGGAAGCCUGAUGCAGCAACGCCGCGUGCGGGAUGAAGGCCUUCGGGUUGUAAACCGCUUUCGCCUGUGACGAAGCGUGAGUGACGGUAAUGGGUAAAGAAGCACCGGCUAACUACGUG